Molecule: ribosomal RNA, 1275 nt
Filed under: metagenome
Description: SSU rRNA
Rfam family: Eukaryotic small subunit ribosomal RNA
Source: RNAcentral
AUUAAAGUUGUUGCGGUUAAAAAGCUCGUAGUUGGACUUUGGGUAGGAGCACGAGGUCCCCCGCGGCGUGCCGUGGGGAUCGAGGCCGAGCGUUUCCCUCCCUGCUCUCGGAACGCCACGAUGGUAAAACAUCGGUUCCGUAGGGUUUACUUUGAAGAAAUUAGGGUGUUCAAAGCAGGCGAAUCGCCUUGAAUACAUUAGCAUGGGAUAAUGAAAGAUGACCUUUGGUCUAUACUUUAUUGGUUUCUAAGGCUUAGGUAAUGAUUAACAGGGACAGUUGGGGUCGCUUGUAUUCAGUGGUCAGAGGUGAAAUUCUAGGACCCACUGAGGACAAACAAAUGCGAAGGCAUUCGACAAGGAUGUUUUCAUUAAUCAAGAACGAAAGUUGUGGGAUCGAAGAUGAUCAGAUACCGUCGUAGUCACAACCGUAAACUAUGUCGACUUAGGAUUCGGGGAUGUUAAUAGAUGACUCUCCGGGCACUAUGUGCGAAAGCAUAAGUAUUCUGACUCCGGGGGGAGUAUGGUCGCAAGACUGAAACUUAAAGGAAUUGACGGAAGGACACCACCAGGAGUGGAACCUGCGGCUUAAUUUUGACCCAACACGGGGAAACUCACCCGGUCCGGACACGACGAGGAUUGACAGAUUGAUAGCUCUUUCUUGAUUUUGUGGUAGCCGGUGCAUGGCCGUUUUUAGUUGGUGGAGUGAUUUGUCUGGUUAAGUCCGAUAACGAACGAGACCUCAAUGUGCUAAAUAGUGUCGCUCACCGGCGGAUCUCCGCGGGCGUCGGCCGACGAGGCCGGUGCCCUCGGGGGUUCGCGUUAAGGUGUGGGCGAGCUAUUACUUCUUAGAGAGACAGUUGACACGACUUUAUAGUCAAAGGAGGCUUGAGGCAAAAACAGGUCUGUGAUGCCGCUCGAUGUCCGGGGCUGCACGCGCGUUACACUGACAUGUUCAACGAGUAUUACGAUUUCACCUGGCCCGACGGGGUUUAGGCAAUCUGUAAACGCAUGUCGUGAUGGGGAUUGUGCUUUGAAACUAUCGCACAUCAACGAGGAAUUCCUAGUAAGGGUGGGUCAUCAACCCGCCCUGAUUACGUCCCAGUCCUUUGUACACACCGCCCGUCGCUUCUACCGAUCGAAUUGCUCGAUGAGAAUUCGGGACGAGGGGGUUUCCUCGGUCGAAAGGCCGGGGCGCCUCUCCGGAACCUAUUCGAAUCUCGUAAUUUAGAGGAAGAAGAAGUCGUAACAAGGUAUCUGUAGGUGAACCUGCAGAUG